This 72-nucleotide transfer RNA is filed under the name Ictidomys tridecemlineatus (thirteen-lined ground squirrel). RNAcentral's name for it is "Spermophilus tridecemlineatus (thirteen-lined ground squirrel) tRNA". It matches the Rfam family "tRNA". From Rfam's summary of the family: Transfer RNA (tRNA) molecules are approximately 80 nucleotides in length. Their secondary structure includes four short double-helical elements and three loops (D, anti-codon, and T loops). Further hydrogen bonds mediate the characteristic L-shaped molecular structure. tRNAs have two regions of fundamental functional importance: the anti-codon, which is responsible for specific mRNA codon recognition, and the 3' end, to which the tRNAs corresponding amino acid is attached (by aminoacyl-tRNA synthetases). tRNAs cope with the degeneracy of the genetic code in two manners: having more than one tRNA (with a specific anti-codon) for a particular amino acid; and 'wobble' base-pairing, i.e. permitting non-standard base-pairing at the 3rd anti-codon position. The record is from Rfam by way of RNAcentral. Lineage: Eukaryota; Metazoa; Chordata; Mammalia; Rodentia; Sciuridae.
UUGGUUGCAGCUCAGUGGUAGAGCAAUUGCCUGGCAUGUGCAAGGCCCUGGGUUCAAUUCCCAGCACAAAAA